UAGUAUGAAUUUAAUAUUGUAAUUUUUCUGGAGAAAUAAUAAAAAAUGAUAAAGUAGUUUAUUUUGUUACUUCUAUGACAAACAUAUAUAAAAAUUAAAGGACUCUUAACCCAUUAAGUCCGAACGUUACCAUAUGGUAACGCAGCAAAUAAUGUCUUAAAAUAGCUAUGGUUCCCGACGUAUUAGUGUAUAUCGGUUUUAUCAGUGUUUAUACAUUCUCUUUAUGUAACAAAACGAUAUGUCAUUAACCAGAAUUCCACAAUAUUAAUCAGUCAUGUGUUAUACGUUGAAAUAGCUGGGUUUCUUUUUCAUACUCAUAACCAUGGAUUUUCGUGGAAGUAAUGGAUUUUCUCUCCAAGAAGCUCUGAAUAUUUUAUUUGUAGAUGAAGAAGACACGGGUUGAAGAAAUAUUCAUUGAAUCCCCUGAAGCAAAUAUUCUUACUGACGCAGAUUCAGAUGACGAAGAUGGAGCCGGUGCAAUAGAUAACUUGACUGGUCGACAAUUAUUAGCACCUGCUAAAAUAAGAUUUAUGCAUGAAUAAUGCUUGGAUCUUACAAAGAAAAGUAAAGCCAAAUGUAUCACAACCUCAAUUUAGAAGUGAAAUAGUCCGCAAUUUGCUUUUGAAAUAUGGGACGAAACCUAAAGUUGGUGGAAGGCCACCCAGACCGAUAUCAAGUAUCUCUUGAAAUAGACUAAGUUAUGACAUUAGGUACGAUGCGAAAAAUCAUGUUAUCAUUCCAAUCCCAGAAAAAAAAGAAGAAAAUGUCCCGGCGAAGGACGUUCGUCUGUUACCACUUUUCUCAGCUCUCACCGAACCGAUUUCUUUCAACAAUACGUCAAAAGAUCACAGAUCGUGUCUAGACGAAGUCAUUACCCUCAACAAUUGAAAAAAUUUCUCUCGUUCUCCGUAAAUGGGGGAAAUAUGCAAAUUUAAAAAUCGGAGAAACGAGGUUCCAUUCAGCUGGAUCUGAACUUAGUAUAGUGACUGAGCUCUUUAAUGAAUUAUCAUUGCUAUUGUCAUUUAAACAAUUUUUUUCGUCAAUAUUUUCAAGUAUAAACUUUGUUUCACCACGUUUUUGUAAGAUACAAUCAUCAACAGAUUCUUCAUCUUUAGAUAUUGUUAAAGUAUUUACAUUUUCAAUAUUAAAUGGAGAAUCCUACAAAAAAAAAAAGAGAUAAAAAUCGAAAUCUAAGCUGUAAUUUUGAAUUUAAAUGGGUAUAAAGAAUAAUAUUUUAAGUUUAUUUAAAGCUUGGAUUAUUUUCGGAAAUUUUUCAAAAAAUAAGUUGAAAAUUUUCAUUAUUUUAAACGAAAUUUUUAUUAUACCCUUCAUUGUAUAAGGAAAAAUUAUCCACUUUAAAAAAAAAUAGAUAUGUUUAUGAAGAAGUUAUAACAUAAAAAUUAAAAGAUCCACGCAUUAUUUAAAUAAUUACAGCGAUUUAAAUUGAAAAUAUAAAAUAAAUUAUCAAACAUUUUAACGCAAAAAUAACAUGUUUUUGAGCUACUGCAGUCGUUUGUACUUAAAAGAAAAGGUGUCGGGUAAAAUUUUUGUUUUAGAUCUUCUAGUACACAACAUAAGCUUUAAUUUAAAAUAUGUUUUAAGGUUGGAGUAUUUUAGGAAACAUUUCAAUGUUUAUUUGAAGAAAUCAACUUUUUAUGCAAAAGUAGCUGUUUUUAUUCCCCCUUGUUGGCAGGGAAAAUGCCAGAUUUAAAAAAUAUAAAAAACAAAAAUAAAAUAUCUAACGUUAUUACACUGAAAAAAAUUAUUUUGAUUUCUUAAAUUUCGAAAAUGUAUGGAUAUUUUUAUCAAAAAAUUAUGAAAAAAUUCUAAUUUUUGGCAUGAUUCAAUAACAUUUAAAUUUUUUUCGAUUGCCUUUUUACGGUACUCACAACCACUUAACUUAAUUUUUUUUGCACUCAUUUUUUAACACUUUUUGUUAACUCUGACACUGAUAAUUGAGAAGUGAGUGCUGGACUUAUUUGUUAUUUUAUCCAAAUAUUCAGAUAUUCAUUUUAUUAUUGAUAUUAUUCUUAUAAUAAUCUAUUUAUAUAUAUAUAUAUAUAUAAAAUAGCCGUUAUCAAUGAAGUGAUAUCGAAAAAUGAAAAUGUUAUUUUUAGUCUAUAACUUUCAAUGAAUAAACUAAAGCUAUAAAUUAUUGUUCAGUACUUGAAUAAACUAAACCUCUUAUACAUUUGAUCACGAGUUAUUAUAAUUAUGAAAAUACUUCACAAAUUAGAUGUAUCUAAACAUUGAAUUCAACAUUCAAUCAAGUUAUGAUUUAUUGGUCCAAAAUAAUUCAAGUGGCCCAAAUUUGUACCGGUCUUGGCGGGGUUUGUCCCAUCAUCGCUUAGCCAAUCCGCCCCUGGCACAAUUUUAAUACCACGUGAUAUAUUAUUAUAUUUUAAUGCCAUAAAGUAUAAAAUUUUUUCAAUAAUAAGAGCAGUGGAAGUCUGCUUUAAGAUAUUCCACGUUUUUAAUUUAGAAUACCCACUUCUAUUAGCGCUGUCUUGAUAUUUAUUCAACAAUAUAACUACAAAUUAUUUUUAAAGAACGACUACUCCCAUCAAACGGUUAAACAAGUGUUACAUGAUCUUAACAAAAAAGUAAAAUAAUAUUAUAUUCAAUAUUCAAAAAUUUUUUUUAUUUUUUUUUUACUAUAUUUUUCUUUUCUUUCUUCUUAUUAAUUAUUUGUAAAUUAUUAAUUUUUGAAAAUUUUCUUUUCAUCCAAUGUAUAAAUAAAUUGUAAGUUUUCUUAAAAUUCAUAAAAAAUAAAAGGUGGAAAUACGCCGUUUCAGUUUAUUUUCUAUAUUUCUCAUUCAAUACACAUGUGUACAGGUUUUAUUUAUAAUUUACUAUUGAAAAAUUAAAAG
Molecule: long non-coding RNA, 2870 nt
Organism: Daktulosphaira vitifoliae (grape phylloxera)
Lineage: Eukaryota; Metazoa; Arthropoda; Insecta; Hemiptera; Phylloxeridae
Exons: 5
Source: RefSeq, a predicted model, not a curated record